RNAcentral lists this unclassified non-coding RNA (328 nucleotides) under Hevea brasiliensis (rubber tree). Lineage: Eukaryota; Viridiplantae; Streptophyta; Magnoliopsida; Malpighiales; Euphorbiaceae. The record is from RNAcentral.
AAGCCACAUUGUGCAAAUGUCUAAAGUUUUAGGGGAGCAAAUUGGUGGCGGGCAAUCUGUCUGGCCUGUUGCCAUCCAUGGCCAUUAUGCUGAUGCAGGAGAUUCUGCUGCUUUACUAUCAGGGGCUCUAAAUGUCCCCAUGUUAUUCACUGGUCAUUCUCUUGGUAGAGAUAAGCUAGAGCAACUCAUGAAACAAGGGCGCCAAACAAGGGAAGAAAUAAAUGCAACAUACAAAAUAAUGCGACGAAUUGAGGCCGAAGAAAUAUCUCUUGAUUCUUCUGAAAUAAUUAUCACUAGCACUAAACAGGAAAUUGAAGAGCAAUGGCAA